GGUGGGUUGGCUGAGCGGCUUAAAGCAGUGGAUUGCUAAUCCACGGGCGUGUAAAAAGCGCCACAGAGGUUCGAAUCCUCUACCCACCGCCA
Molecule: transfer RNA, 92 nt
Filed under: Candidatus Daviesbacteria bacterium
Lineage: Bacteria; Candidatus Daviesiibacteriota
Also listed under: 1 other name
Description: tRNA-Ser
Rfam family: tRNA
About the family: Transfer RNA (tRNA) molecules are approximately 80 nucleotides in length. Their secondary structure includes four short double-helical elements and three loops (D, anti-codon, and T loops).
Source: RNAcentral